CCUACGGGAGGCAGCAGUGGGGAAUCUUGCGCAAUGGGCGAAAGCCUGACGCAGCAACGCCGCGUGCGGGAUGAAGGCCUUCGGGUUGUAAACCGCUUUCAGCAGGGACGAAAAUGACGGUACCUGCAGAAGAAGCCCCGGCUAACUACGUGCCAGCAGCCGCGGUAAUACGUAGGGGGCAAGCGUUGUCCGGAUUUAUUGGGCGUAAAGAGCUCGUAGGCGGUUCCGUAAGUCGAGUGUGAAAAAUCUGGGCUCAACCCAGUGGAGCACUCGAUACUGCGGUGACUAGAGUACGGUAGAGGAGUGUGGAAUUUCUGGUGUAGCGGUGAAAUGCGCAGAUAUCAGAAGGAACACCCACGGCGAAGGCAGCACUAUGGGCCGGUCCAGACGCUGAGGAGCGAAAGCUUGGGGAGCGAACAGGAUCAGAUACCCUGGUAGUCCCCGCCGUAAACGUUGGGCACAUAGGUGUGGGGAGGAAUCAACCCUUUCCGUGCCGUAGCUAACGCAUUAAGUGCACCGCCUGGGGAGUCCGGCCGCAAGGCUAAAACUCAAAGGAAUUGACGG
Molecule: ribosomal RNA, 564 nt
Filed under: uncultured bacterium
Lineage: Bacteria
Description: bacterial SSU rRNA
Rfam family: Bacterial small subunit ribosomal RNA
Source: RNAcentral